GACCUCGUCUACCCAUCAAAUCUUAAUCUGAGUACUUUAAAAAGCCAUUUCCAUGCAACACUGAAAAGGGAGUAGAACUUGAGGAGGAAAAUAUGGUCAUAGAAUUUUACUCCACCCACUAUCUAAUCAAUCUACCAAGUGCUACCUCUGUACCAACCACUGAGCUGGACGUUGAAAGGCAAAAAUAAACAAGACAUAAUCUCUCAUACAAUAAAGCAGGAAGGGAAGGAUAUACACAAAAUACGUGCUAUAGGUUUUAUAGGAACUAUGUAAGAAGUAUAUACAGGGUAUGAUGGGAUACAAGGAGGGAGUUACAAAAGACUUCACACUGGAAUUAGGUUUUAAAAUAUAAAACAGUGUUGGCAAUUAAAGAAGUGGGUGGAGAGAAUGUAGAAUGUCCAACAACAUGGCAUGUUUUGGAACCCACAAACUUUCAGUGUGACUAGAACAGAGGUCAUAAGAGGAUUCAAGACUAGAAACAAGGUUAAUCUGGAAAUGGUAUCGAGAGUAGACUGUAAUGAGACCAGACUGGUGGCAGGAAGACAAUUGCAGCUGCCCGGUGACAGAAGAGCAAAAGCCGAAUUAAGGCACCCUCUAUGGACCAGAGAACAACCUCUAGGAGUUGAGAGCAGUCCCUGGCUGAUACCAAGAAAACAAGACUUCAGUUCUAAAGCUGCAGAGGAAUGAAAUCUGCCAAUAAAAGGAAUGAUCUUGGAAGAGGACUAUGAGCUCCAGUGAAUUCUUCCAGAAGCAAGACCAGUGCCCUUGAUGACAAAAAAGAGCAAGAUACAAAGUAGUAAAUGAUACUGCAACUGGC
RNAcentral lists this long non-coding RNA (817 nucleotides) under Homo sapiens (human). RNAcentral's name for it is "HSALNT0377657". The record is from RNAcentral. Lineage: Eukaryota; Metazoa; Chordata; Mammalia; Primates; Hominidae.